CCUACGGGAGGCAGCAGUGGGGAAUCUUGCGCAAUGGGCGAAAGCCUGACGCAGCCAUGCCGCGUGAAUGAUGAAGGUCUUAGGAUUGUAAAAUUCUUUCACCGGGGACGAUAAUGACGGUACCCGGAGAAGAAGCCCCGGCUAACUUCGUGCCAGCAGCCGCGGUAAUACGAAGGGGGCUAGCGUUGCUCGGAAUUACUGGGCGUAAAGGGAGCGUAGGCGGACAUUUAAGUCAGGGGUGAAAUCCCGGGGCUCAACCUCGGAAUUGCCUUUGAUACUGGGUGUCUUGAGUGUGAGAGAGGUAUGUGGAACUCUGAGUGUAGAGGUGAAAUUCGUAGAUAUUCGGAAGAACACCAGUGGCGAAGGCGACAUACUGGCUCAUUACUGACGCUGAGGCUCGAAAGCGUGGGGAGCAAACAGGAUUAGAUACCCUGGUAGUCCACGCCGUAAACGAUGAUUGCUAGUUGUCGGGAUGCAUGCAUUUCGGUGACGCAGCUAACGCAUUAAGCAAUCCGCCUGGGGAGUACGGUCGCAAGAUUAAAACUCAAAGGAAUUGACGG
Molecule: ribosomal RNA, 560 nt
Filed under: uncultured Alphaproteobacteria bacterium
Lineage: Bacteria; Pseudomonadati; Pseudomonadota; Alphaproteobacteria
Description: bacterial SSU rRNA
Rfam family: Bacterial small subunit ribosomal RNA
Source: RNAcentral